Gasterosteus aculeatus aculeatus (three-spined stickleback) is the source of this 305-nucleotide long non-coding RNA. Lineage: Eukaryota; Metazoa; Chordata; Actinopteri; Perciformes; Gasterosteidae. The record is from Ensembl.
GGACGGGGAGAGAGAAGCCCAAACAAAAGCUGAAUAUGCGGCUCUGUUAAUACGAAGUCUACCUGCCUCUCAGAAUUCAUGCUAGUGAGGCGACUGGGACGUGAGACGCUGCCAAAGGAAAUCCUCCCGCACUCCAAGAGCAACACGGUGCGCUGGAAGCAAAGUCGUCUGCUUUGUACCGCAGAGACACCAGCUCGUGACCAGUGGACGAAGGAUAAAGGACUUGUGAUGCAGCUAAACGCAUCCCCCACAUGGAUGGUGGCAGCUCGUGGCCCCCGGCCUGAGACCUGAGACCCCCACCCGGC